AUUGAACGCUGGCGGCAGGCCUAACACAUGCAAGUCGAGCGGAGCGGCGGAAGGGUGAGUAAUGACUAGGAAUCUGCCUGGUAGUGGGGGAUAACGUCCGGAAACGGGCGCUAAUACCACAUACUUUAAGAUGAGCCUAGGUGGGAUUAGCUGUUUGGUGGGGUAAAGGCUUACCAGGGCGACGACGCGUAACUGGGCUGAGGGGAUGAUCAGUCACACUGGAACUGGGACACGGUCCAGACUCCUACGGGAGGCAGCAGUGGGGAAUCUUGGACAAUGGGCGAAAGCCUGAUCCAGCCAUGCCGCGUGUGUGAAGAAGGUCUUCGGAUUGUAAAGCACUUUAAGUUGGGAGGCGUUACCAACAGAAUAAGCACCGGCUAACUUCGUGCCAGCAGCCGCGGUAAUUC
Molecule: ribosomal RNA, 407 nt
Filed under: uncultured bacterium
Lineage: Bacteria
Description: partial 16S ribosomal RNA
Rfam family: Bacterial small subunit ribosomal RNA
Source: RNAcentral